GACGAACGCUGGCGGCGUGCUUAACACAUGCAAGUCGAACGGUAAGGCCCUUCGGGGUACACGAGUGGCGAACGGGUGAGUAACACGUGGGUGAUCUGCCCUGCACUUCGGGAUAAGCCUGGGAAACUGGGUCUAAUACCGGAUAGGACCACUGCCUGCAUGGGUGGUGGUGGAAAGCUUUUGCGGUGUGGGAUGGGCCCGCGGCCUAUCAGCUUGUUGGUGGGGUGAUGGCCUACCAAGGCGACGAAGGGUAGCCGGCCUGAGAGGGUGACCGGCGACACUGGGGCGGAGGUACGGCCCAGACUCCUACGGGAGGCAGCAGUGGGGAAUAAUGCACAAUGGGCGCAAGCCUGAUGCAGCGACGCCGCGUGAGGGAUGACGGCCUUCGGGUUGUAAACCUCUUUCAGCACCGACGAAGCGCAAGUGGCGGUAGGUGCAGAAGAAGGACCGGCCAACUACGUGCCAGCAGCCGCCGUAA
This 478-nucleotide ribosomal RNA is filed under the name uncultured bacterium. RNAcentral's name for it is "partial 16S ribosomal RNA". It matches the Rfam family "Bacterial small subunit ribosomal RNA", at positions 28 to 523 of the family's 1533-position model. The record is from RNAcentral.